UAUAAUUAGGUUUUACUCUUUGUUCGAUAGAAUGAGAAAAAGUACUCGUUACAAAAUUAUACUGUUAGGGCGCAACUGAGUAGUCUAAUGUUCUUCCGAUUUUUGUUCUUCUGAACGUUGACAUCGAUUCGUUCCAAAUUUACACUCUCGAGGUGUAAUAAAAUAAUAUAAUUAGGUUUUAGUCUUUGUUCGAUAGAAUGAGAAAAAGUACUCGUUGCAAAGUUAUACUGUUAGGGCGCAACUGAGUAGUCUAAUGUUGUUCCGGUUUUGGUUCUUGUGAACGUUGACAUCGAUUCGUUCCAAAUUUACACUCUCGAGGUGU
Molecule: long non-coding RNA, 322 nt
Filed under: Ananas comosus (pineapple)
Lineage: Eukaryota; Viridiplantae; Streptophyta; Magnoliopsida; Poales; Bromeliaceae
Description: long non-coding RNA (ACOM_LNC038711)
Source: RNAcentral